This 253-nucleotide ribosomal RNA is filed under the name uncultured bacterium. Its description in RNAcentral is "partial 16S ribosomal RNA". It matches the Rfam family "Bacterial small subunit ribosomal RNA", at positions 524 to 776 of the family's 1533-position model. The record is from RNAcentral.
UACGAAGGGGGCUAGCGUUGCUCGGAAUUACUGGGCGUAAAGCGCACGUAGGCGGCUCUUUAAGUCGGAGGUGAAAUCCUGGAGCUCAACUCCAGAACUGCCUUCGAUACUGUAGAGCUUGAGUUCGGGAGAGGUGAGUGGAACUGCGAGUGUAGAGGUGAAAUUCGUAGAUAUUCGCAAGAACACCAGUGGCGAAGGCGGCUCACUGGCCCGAUACUGACGCUGAGGCACGAAAGCGUGGGGAGCAAACAGG